CCCUUAGACGUUCUGGGCCGCACGCGCGCUACACUGACGAAGGCAACGAGCUUUCCUUUACCGAAAGGUACGGGUAAUCUUUUGAAACUUCGUCGUGCUGGGGAUAGAUCCUUGCAAUUUUUGAUCUUAAACGAGGAAUGCCUAGUAAGCGCAAGUCAUCAACUUGCGUUGAUUACGUCCCUGCCCUUUGUACACACCGCCCGUCGCUACUACCGAUUGAAUGGUUUAGUUAGGCCUUCGGAUCCGCGACUCGUUUUGUGGAGAAGUUGGACAAACUCAGUCAUUUAGAGGAAGUAAAAGUCGUAACA
RNAcentral lists this ribosomal RNA (308 nucleotides) under uncultured eukaryote. RNAcentral describes it as "partial 18S ribosomal RNA". It matches the Rfam family "Eukaryotic small subunit ribosomal RNA", at positions 1470 to 1796 of the family's 1831-position model. The record is from RNAcentral.